GGAAUAUUGCACAAUGGGCGCAAGCCUGAUGCAGCCAUGCCGCGUGUAUGAAGAAGGCCUUCGGGUUGUAAAGUACUUUCAGCGGGGAGGAAGGCGAUGGGGUUAAUAACCUUAUCGAUUGACGUUACCCGCAGAAGAAGCACCGGCUAACUCCGUGCCAGCAGCCGCGGUAAUACGGAGGGUGCAAGCGUUAAUCGGAAUUACUGGGCGUAAAGCGCACGCAGGCGGUCUGUUAAGUCAGAUGUGAAAUCCCCGGGCUUAACCUGGGAACUGCAUUUGAAACUGGCAGGCUUGAGUCUUGUAGAGGGGGGUAGAAUUCCAGGUGUAGCGGUGAAAUGCGUAGAGAUCUGGAGGAAUACCGGUGGCGAAGGCGGCCCCCUGGACAAAGACUGACGCUCAGGUGCGAAAGCGUGGGGAGCAAACAGGAUUAGAUACCCUUG
RNAcentral lists this ribosomal RNA (440 nucleotides) under uncultured Pantoea sp. RNAcentral's name for it is "bacterial SSU rRNA". It matches the Rfam family "Bacterial small subunit ribosomal RNA", at positions 358 to 790 of the family's 1533-position model. Lineage: Bacteria; Pseudomonadati; Pseudomonadota; Gammaproteobacteria; Enterobacterales; Erwiniaceae. The record is from RNAcentral.